GAUGAAGAACGCAGCGAAAUGCGAUAAGUAAUGCGAAUUGCAGAAUUCCAGUGAGUCAUCGAAUCUUUGAACGCACAUUGCGCCCUUUGGUAUUCCGAAGGGCAUGCCUGUUCGAGCGUCAUUAUCACCCCUCAAGCCCUCGGCUUGGUGUUGGACGGUUUGGUGGAGGCCCCCUCGGGGGUUCCUGCCCCUCCCAAAGACAAUGACGGCGGCCUCGUUGGACCCCCGGUACACUGAGUUCUUCACAGGACACGUAUCGGACACAUGGGUUUACGGGACACGGUCUGCCUCCCCUCAGGGAGAAUCUUUCUAAGGUUGACCUCGGAUCAGGUAGGGAUACCCGCUGAACUUAAGCAUAUCAAUAAGCGGAGGA
Molecule: unclassified non-coding RNA, 373 nt
Filed under: soil metagenome
Description: partial contains 5.8S ribosomal RNA, internal transcribed spacer 2, and large subunit ribosomal RNA
Rfam family: 5.8S ribosomal RNA (bases 1-121)
Source: RNAcentral